AGAGUUUGAUCCUGGCUCAGAUUGAACGCUGGCGGCAGGCCUAACACAUGCAAGUCGAACGGUAACAGGAAGAAGCUUGCUUCUUUGCUGACGAGUGGCGGACGGGUGAGUAAUGUCUGGGAAACUGCCUGAUGGAGGGGGAUAACUACUGGAAACGGUAGCUAAUACCGCAUAACGUCGCAAGACCAAAGAGGGGGACCUUCGGGCCUCUUGCCAUCGGAUGUGCCCAGAUGGGAUUAGCUAGUAGGUGGGGUAACGGCUCACCUAGGCGACGAUCCCUAGCUGGUCUGAGAGGAUGACCAGCCACACUGGAACUGAGACACGGUCCAGACUCCUACGGGAGGCAGCAGUGGGGAAUAUUGCACAAUGGGCGCAAGCCUGAUGCAGCCAUGCCGCGUGUAUGAAGAAGGCCUUCGGGUUGUAAAGUACUUUCAGCGGGGAGGAAGGGAGUAAAGUUAAUACCUUUGCUCAUUGACGUUACCCGCAGAAGAAGCACCGGCUAACUCCGUGCCAGCAGCCGCGGUAAUACGGAGGGUGCAAGCGUUAAUCGGAAUUACUGGGCGUAAAGCGCACGCAGGCGGUUUGUUAAGUCAGAUGUGAAAUCCCCGGGCUCAACCUGGGAACUGCAUCUGAUACUGGCAAGCUUGAGUCUCGUAGAGGGGGGUAGAAUUCCAGGUGUAGCGGUGAAAUGCGUAGAGAUCUGGAGGAAUACCGGUGGCGAAGGCGGCCCCCUGGACGAAGACUGACGCUCAGGUGCGAAAGCGUGGGGAGCAAAAAGGAUUAGAUACCCUGGUAGUCCACGCCGUAAA
RNAcentral lists this ribosomal RNA (809 nucleotides) under uncultured bacterium. RNAcentral's name for it is "bacterial SSU rRNA". It matches the Rfam family "Bacterial small subunit ribosomal RNA", at positions 8 to 806 of the family's 1533-position model. The record is from RNAcentral.